AAUGGACGCAAGUCUGAUGGAGCAACGCCGCGUGAGUGAAGAAGGCUUUCGGGUCGUAAAACUCUGUUGUUGGAGAAGAAUGGUCGGCAGAGUAACUGUUGCCGGCGUGACGGUAUCCAACCAGAAAGCCACGGCUAACUACGUGCCAGCAGCCGCGGUAAUACGUAGGUGGCAAGCGUUAUCCGGAUUUAUUGGGCGUAAAGCGAGCGCAGGCGGUUUUUUAAGUCUGAUGUGAAAGCCCUCGGCUUAACCGAGGAAGCGCAUCGGAAACUGGGAAACUUGAGUGCAGAAGAGGACAGUGGAACUCCAUGUGUAGCGGUGAAAUGCGUAGAUAUAUGGAAGAACACCAGUGGCGAAGGCGGCUGUCUGGUCUGUAACUGACGCUGAGGCUCGAAAGCAUGGGUAGCGAACAGGAUUAGAUACCCUGGUAGUCCAUGCCGUAAACGAUGAAUGCUAGGUGUUGGAGGGUUUCCGCCCUUCAGUGCCGCAGCUAACGCAUUAAGCAUUCCGCCUGGGGGAGUACGACCGCAAGGUUGAAACUCAAAGGAAUUGACGGG
RNAcentral lists this ribosomal RNA (557 nucleotides) under Lacticaseibacillus paracasei. RNAcentral describes it as "bacterial SSU rRNA". It matches the Rfam family "Bacterial small subunit ribosomal RNA", at positions 370 to 917 of the family's 1533-position model. The record is from RNAcentral. Lineage: Bacteria; Bacillati; Bacillota; Bacilli; Lactobacillales; Lactobacillaceae.